UACGAAGGGGGCUAGCGUUGCUCGGAAUCACUGGGCGUAAAGGGUGCGUAGGCGGGUCUUUUAAGUCAGAGGUGAAAUCCCAAGGCUCAACCUUGGAACUGCCUUUGAUACUGGGGAUCUUGAGUCCGGGAGAGGUGAGUGGAACUGCGAGUGUAGAGGUGAAAUUCGUAGAUAUUCGCAAGAACACCAGUGGCGAAGGCGGCUCACUGGCCCGGUACUGACGCUGAGACGCGAAAGCGUGGGGAGCAACAGG
This 253-nucleotide ribosomal RNA is filed under the name uncultured bacterium. RNAcentral describes it as "partial 16S ribosomal RNA". It matches the Rfam family "Bacterial small subunit ribosomal RNA", at positions 524 to 775 of the family's 1533-position model. The record is from RNAcentral.